CCUACGGGCGGCAGCAGUGAGGAAUAUUGGUCAAUGGGCGCGAGCCUGAACCAGCCAAGUCGCGUGAGGGAAGACGGUCCUAUGGAUUGUAAACCUCUUUUGUCGGGGAGCAAAAGACGCCACGUGUGGCGUUCCGAGAGUACCCGAAGAAAAAGCAUCGGCUAACUCCGUGCCAGCAGCCGCGGUAAUACGGAGGAUGCGAGCGUUAUCCGGAUUGAUUGGGUUUAAAGGGUGCGCAGGCGGAAGAUCAAGUCAGCGGUAAAAUUGAGAGGCUCAACCUCUUCGAGCCGUUGAAACUGGUUUUCUUGAGUGAGCGAGAAGUAUGUGGAAUGCGUGGUGUAGCGGUGAAAUGCAUAGAUAUCACGCAGAACUCUGAUUGCGAAGGCAGCAUACCGGCGCUCAACUGACGCUCAUGCACGAAAGUGUGGGUAUCGAACAGGAUUAGAUACCCCUGUAGUC
Molecule: ribosomal RNA, 459 nt
Filed under: uncultured bacterium
Lineage: Bacteria
Description: partial 16S ribosomal RNA
Rfam family: Bacterial small subunit ribosomal RNA
Source: RNAcentral